GCCUCCAGAGAGUUCCACGGAUAUCUCUCUCCAUCCGCAUGGUGUCGCUUCCUGUCCCAGUUCUUUCUCGCUUUUCCUCCUCUCUGCUUUUCUUUGCUACCAUCGGUGUCGGAAACUCCGCUUCUGCACGAAUAUUUCGUCUGCUGUCAGCUUGCUCAGCGGCUUCGUUUGUUUGGUGAGAUGUGUUUUCCCCUUUCUCCUUCGUCGUGAGUUUCCAUUCCGUGGACAUCUUUUUCCAGAUUCCUUCGUGGAUUAGAUCCUGGCUCCUCUAGUCGAGAUCGUCUUGCUUUUUUUCCGAGAUGGAGAUUAGGACCGAGAAGGCAAGUAUUUUUCUUUGGUAGCUUUGGCAUGUGCAGACAGAUAAGGAAAUGCUUCUAUAGUUCUACCUCAUUGAACUCUAUUUUGGAGAUUGAGAUUGAAAAGGCAAGUAUUUCUUUUUUGGUAAAGUAUUUCGCAAGUGGACAUCUGGUUCCAAUUUUUUUUAAAGGGAUUUGGUUCCAAAUUCGUGCUUGGACCUGCCAGGAUUCUAUUGUUUUUGCCGUAUCCUCUUGCUUUGGUACAUGUAGAUCAACAAGCAAAUGUUUUUUUAUUUCAUUGAACUUCAAUGAGUGCAGGUUAUGUUCUGUUUGUAUUUUAUUGAACUUCAUUAUACUAUUUUCUUUUGGUAAAGUUGUUCACAUCAAGUGCAUGUUGCAUUCUUUUUAGUUUUUUAACGGUUCUGCUUUUUCAGCUUGCUCUUCGUUGCAUUUAUUUUUUAGCUGUGUUUCCAUUCCUCCAGCUGUGUUUCCAUUCUCCCUUUGUUGACCAUUUCGAUUUCGUGGACAACUAAUUUCCUUUGGGUGAAAUGAUCUGCACGAAGUUGAGAUUUCGUUUUCUUUUGUUUAUGGACGCAUCAAGAUUCCAACACGCUGUUAUUUUCUUCGCUGGUUUAGUAAUGAGGAAAUCCAUUUUGCAACCCUAAUUUUAGGGUUUAGGGUUUUAACUGAUAUUGUGAAAAAAGUUGUUCCUCCCUGGUCCCAACACUUCCAUCUACUCUCUGAUUGUUCUGCUCCAGACUAUGGUGUGUAAAUCUGCCGCAUCGUUUUUUUUGUACUGGAAAGCUCUAAAAAUAAGGAAAUUAUUUGCAUCGUUUUUAAAAAGAUAGCAUCUUGCACGGUCGCUUUUUGGAGAAAGAAAAGUAACCCAAUUCGGUUUUGUCCAAAUUAGUUUCAAUUUGAUACCUUCUCGAGUUUUGCUUCCUGUUUUUAUCGUUUGGGUUUACUAAAUUGCUUAGAAUUCAACAUCUUUCCCUCAUAACUCACUUUUUUGUCUUUGUUCGACUUUCGUAGAAUUAGAUACAAUUUCCUGCUCGUUCCACCCAAAUUUCCUCCUCUCUUAUUGUUUUUAUGUGAGUUUCCUUAGAUCAAUACGUGAAGGUCAACACAUACAUGUUGUGUUUGUUGCUAUGCAAAGAAUGUCAUCUAGGCACGAGGACUACUAUCUCAAAUCAUUGGAGCUUUCUUUGGCAAGUUUCAUAUCAUAAAUAGCGUAUAUUGCUACCAUAAAUUUUUUACAACCACAUUUACAACGUGGUAUCCAAAAUGGUUACAACAACUCAACCAUCAUCAGAGACGUCUUCAUCAAGAAUAUAAGGUACGAAAUUCUCCUUUAUGUAUUACUGUUACAAUCUUGCCACCUAAAAUGCGUGACAAUUACUACGAAACCUUUGCACCACUAAUCCUUAUAUCAGAUUAUGUAUUUAUACUAGCUACAUUGUUCUUAUUUCUUCAGUGACAUGUCUCUGAAAUUUACUCUUUGGGGAAAUCAAGCAUCAAACUUUUCUAUAUGUGAUAUUUACAAUCAAAGCAACAACCAACCUAUUGUCAUACUGCUCGUUGGAUUUCUUGCUAAACAAUUCAAAGGUUAUGAUCCAAGCUUUUCAAAAGAACAAUUCAAUUAUUUAUUCCAACAAAUUUGAUAACACAUAUUCUACAUCAAUUGUAGGUCAACCAUACCUAAGCGGUACUACAACAAGUUUAUGGUACUUCAAUCCUGGAAUUCCUGAGGCGCAGACCUACUACAACACGUAAAACAAAAUAAAAAUUUGGAUACAAUUACUUCAAACACUCACUAUUUUUUAUACCACAUUUUGAAUCUGCUCCUCUCUAAUCUUAUGCCCACAGUUAGCUAACAGUUUAAUAAACUAUAGUCUACUAAGCUAGCAGUAGCAAUAUUUAAACUGAAAUUGUAGAUAAACCUUAUUUUUUUACCAUUACCUCUUUAUAUAUUACAUUCAGACCAGUUUGGUAUCCCUCUUCAGAGAAUAUUCAAUACUUAUAUUUAUUUUUUUACCUAAAACUAAUAGCCACCGUUUCAUUUCGUUUUCUCUAUAAAAAAUCACUGACAGAUGUUACUGCAAAAGAAAAAUCGCCGCUGCCUAGAAUCAGUGUCUACAAAAACAAUUCAUUUUUUAAAUGGUGUUAUAAUUGCUUGUAUUUCUUAGGCACUAUUUCAAUUUUUUAAAAUGAUGAUACAUGCUAUCCUCUUUUUCCUAAAGCGGGUUACAGGACAUCCUAUUGUCUUCAAUUUUUUUUAAAAAAUAAAAGUAUUGUUCAUACUACUCAUGCACAACUUCAAUACAAAACAAAUUAAGGUACACACCCUCUCGUUUUUUGAUUGAACUCUUAGGAUACCAUGUUCUCUUUAAAAAACCAAAAAAAAAUAUUUAGAUGUUGAGCCAAUCAUUCACAUCACAUUAUUUACGCCAAAAUGGAAAACAUAAGAGGAACUUUAACAAAAAAACAAAAAAUACUAAAACUAAGUCUUAUCUGAUCAUGGUUGUGACAUCACUUGAAGUAAUGAAUACACAAUGAAUGUUGGCAAAGCCCAACAAAUACUCAAAGUUGGCUUUCUCUUAGUCUGCUUUCUCUUAAUCAACCACUAAUAACUCAUUCUCACAAAGGGUGGGGGUUAGAGAGGGCUCAUAAAUGGCUGGAAAUGGGUUUGGAGUGUUUUGAACACCAAUCUCUAAAGGCAUGUGAUAAUAUAUAUACCCCAACACAAAACUAGUUGUAGGAGGUCAAAACUAGCAGUUUGGGACUAUACACGCCCAACACUGUUGGGCCUCCAAGUAGCAUUGCCACAACAUAAAUUGUCUCACAAAAAUACCAUAUUUUUUACCCUGAACUCUAUUUUUAGUGACCUUAUUUUUUUCCAGAAAGCUUAUUUCAAGGGCUAUCCAAUCUAGUUAAGAACAAUAUGAAAUAUCAUCAAAAUAUUAUGUUAUGUUUUCUCUCAUGCUAUCACUUGGGGUUCAAUUAUUUUGAACACUUGAGACUUGUCUAUGAUUCAUAUUGCAUCCCCUUGAUACUAUGGAAUACCUAUACUCAA
Molecule: long non-coding RNA, 3369 nt
Organism: Zea mays
Lineage: Eukaryota; Viridiplantae; Streptophyta; Magnoliopsida; Poales; Poaceae
Exons: 3
Source: RefSeq, a predicted model, not a curated record